CUUUGCAUUCCAUACACUGUAUGUAAAUAUGCACGGUUGGUGCAUGAAAUAUGUAUAAAACCUCUAAUUUAAUCUUUUCCAUUUUGUAUUAAUAACAUCUUUUUAUACUAUAUAGGUACAGCAAGAUAAACGGCGAUACAAUCAGGAAAUUUAAAAGGGGUCUGCAUCUGACUCGCUCGUAAGCGAUUUAAUUAAAAGGGAGACGUGCAACAUUUACCAGCAUCCAGCAAAGCUACCAGGGCAGAUUCAAUCACAUUAACACACACACACGUACACGCAGCGGAUGUAUUUGUUAAGUAUCAAAUAAGCUCAAAAAAUUUUUAAUCAAAUAAAUAACUUAAUUUUAUCUUUUCUAGCUAAAUAUUUUGCUGAAGCUGAGGGGUGCUAAAGGAUGCAUCAAAGGGGUGAUGAAGCGCGUUUACUCCGACGAGUUGAUGUUCCAUUACAGUUUUGAGGGGAAAGCCAACAAAUCGGCGCUUUUGGGCCUCAAAAGUCUGGAACUCAUUUUCGGUAUUUACAUUUUUUCGUUUAUACUUUUUUUUAUAUAUAUAACAUGUUUUUUAUGUAUAUCCAACAGAUACAUUUAAUAGCACCCCGAAAAGCGAAGUCAUUGCUGAAAUUCGCAAAGCGGUUUUAAUGAGCCUGAACCGACAUAAACAAGUAGUUAGAAAACAAAAACAAAAAAUUAAUAUUCAAAAUAACUAAUAACUAAAACUAAAAUAUUUCUAAACCUAAUUUUAUAAUGUCAAAUUA
Anastrepha obliqua is the source of this 753-nucleotide long non-coding RNA. RefSeq lists it as uncharacterized. The transcript is spliced from 3 exons. NCBI's taxonomy places the organism in Eukaryota, Metazoa, Arthropoda, Insecta, Diptera, Tephritidae. The record is from RefSeq and is a predicted model, not a curated record.